Molecule: ribosomal RNA, 427 nt
Filed under: uncultured Pseudomonadota bacterium
Lineage: Bacteria; Pseudomonadati; Pseudomonadota
Description: bacterial SSU rRNA
Rfam family: Bacterial small subunit ribosomal RNA
Source: RNAcentral
UGGGGAAUUUUGGACAAUGGGCGCAAGCCUGAUCCAGCCAUGCCGCGUGCGGGAAGAAGGCCUUCGGGUUGUAAACCGCUUUUGUCAGGGAAGAAACGGUCCGGGCUAAUACCCUGGAUUAAUGACGGUACCUGAAGAAUAAGCACCGGCUAACUACGUGCCAGCAGCCGCGGUAAUACGUAGGGUGCAAGCGUUAAUCGGAAUUACUGGGCGUAAAGCGUGCGCAGGCGGCUUUGCAAGACAGAUGUGAAAUCCCCGGGCUCAACCUGGGAACUGCAUUUGUGACUGCAUGGCUAGAGUGCGGCAGAGGGGGAUGGAAUUCCGCGUGUAGCAGUGAAAUGCGUAGAUAUGCGGAGGAACACCGAUGGCGAAGGCAAUCCCCUGGGCCUGCACUGACGCUCAUGCACGAAAGCGUGGGGAGCAAACA